AUGGGAAGCUCCUCCACCACCAACGACAAGUGGGAUGAGGCGGCCGGCGCCCUGCACGCGAACCGAACCCGGCAAUCCAGAUGGGAUGGGGAUGGUGGCGACCUGCAGGAGUCUCAGGUGCCGGCGACAACCGAUGGGCAGCAGGCACCUCCUCCCCACCGCCAGGAGCUGCGUGGUGGUGAUGCCGGAAGCGACAAGGCUCACCACGCCUUCGACAAGAACACUGCCACUGCUGCUAACCGCGAGUACUCCUCCUCUGGUACUAUCGUUCCUCCUUGUGAUGCUUGUCAGAUCUGCCAUCUUCCUGGGCAUUUCACUGUUAGGUGUCCUCAGGCUCUCUGUGAUAGAUGUAAAAAGAGAGGUCACCUGUCCUUUGUCUGCAAUGAGUUCUUUCCUUGGGAUUACACACCUGUGAUGUGUGCUUUUCAAACUAAGGGUCAGGGCUUCUUUUACAUUCCUGAUUACAGCGUGGAUAGGCAGAGUAGGGAUAACAUUUUCAACAUUGUUGUUACCAUUACUGAUGGCUCUGCUCAGACCAAAGAUAUUGAACAUGAGUUGAGUGUUUACGUUGUCCAGGGAUGGCGAUGCUCUGCUAGAUUCUUUACUCCACAAAAGUUUGUCAUGAGAAUGCCGAACCCUAGAGAGGUUGACAGAGCUCUUUUUGUUGAAAAUAUUAAAUUGAAAAAGUGUGGGGUCAGUGUCAAGUUUUCUCCUUGGUCUGAGGAUAUUGAUUCUGAGGGACUGUUAGAGAUUGCUUGGGUUAAGAUCGGAAAAAUUCCACCUAACAAGAGAUGUGAUAAAACUGUAGCUUAUGUGGGAGGC
This 822-nucleotide ribosomal RNA is filed under the name Triticum aestivum (bread wheat). Its description in RNAcentral is "partial small subunit ribosomal RNA". Lineage: Eukaryota; Viridiplantae; Streptophyta; Magnoliopsida; Poales; Poaceae. The record is from RNAcentral.